This is a long non-coding RNA of Thalassophryne amazonica, 146 nucleotides long. RefSeq lists it as uncharacterized. The record is from RefSeq and is a predicted model, not a curated record. The transcript has 4 exons. Lineage: Eukaryota; Metazoa; Chordata; Actinopteri; Batrachoidiformes; Batrachoididae.
AAAGGACGAGGCCACAAUAGCACUCAUAGUAUUAUCAUUAUAAACAGAAAGACAGAAAAAAAAUAAAUAAAUAGUACAAUAACAAAAGUAAAGGCAUUCUUUAACAUUAAUUUGUUGUUAUGUUUGUUUAAUUUUUAAAAUAUUUA